CCUACGGGAGGCAGCAGUGAGGAAUAUUGGUCAAUGGACGAGAGUCUGAACCAGCCAAGUAGCGUGAAGGAUGACUGCCCUAUGGGUUGUAAACUUCUUUUAUAAAGGAAUAAAACGAGGCACGUGUGCCUUUUUGCAUGUACUUUAUGAAUAAGGAUCGGCUAACUCCGUGCCAGCAGCCGCGGUAUACGGAGGAUCCGAGCGUUAUCCGGAUUUAUUGGGGUUAAAGGGAGCGUAGAUGGGUUGUUAAGUCAGUUGUGAAAGUUUGCGGCUCAACCGUAAAAUUGCAAUUGAUACUGGCAGUCUUGAGUACAGUUGAGGUAGGCGGAAUUCGUGGUGUAGCGGUGAAAUGCUUAGAUAUCACGAAGAACCCCGAUUGCGAAGGCAGCUUACUAAACUGUGACUGACAUUGAUGCUCGAAAGUGUGGGUAUCAAACAGGAUUAGAUACCCCGGUAGUC
This 459-nucleotide ribosomal RNA is filed under the name uncultured bacterium. RNAcentral's name for it is "partial 16S ribosomal RNA". It matches the Rfam family "Bacterial small subunit ribosomal RNA", at positions 338 to 795 of the family's 1533-position model. The record is from RNAcentral.